Molecule: non-coding RNA, 1448 nt
Organism: Podarcis lilfordi (Lilford's wall lizard)
Lineage: Eukaryota; Metazoa; Chordata; Lepidosauria; Squamata; Lacertidae
Source: the annotation of a GenBank genome assembly
CCCCCUGCUGGCCCAGGGUGAGAACUUCAGUACAUAACAGUUACCUACAGUGGAAGUCCCCAGACAGGCCGAGUGAUCAUUGCUGAGUGAUGACCAGUGUCACCAUCUUCAUGAAGCAUCCAUAUAACCCUGUUAAAAAAACAACACCUUCAGUGUCUUGGAUUGGGAACAGGAACUAAGAGGAGCCAAUGGCUAAGGAAAUGCAUGUUAGGAACAAAACUAGAGUCUCAGCAGAAAGUCCUGCAACCAAUUUCCAGGUUUGUGUGUAGUUUUCUUUCCUCUGUAGUAGGUUUGUGAGAUAAAGAAUGCCAGCCAGCUGGUCUCUCGGCCAGCAGCAGAAGCUGACUGGCUCUGGACUCUCUGCACUGAGGGAUGAGUCGCACUUAGAGACAGGCUAGCUGGGAGAGCUCAGGUGGAAGGAAGCGCUGAAGCUCAGUGGUAGAGAAUAUGUUUUCUUUUUAUGCAGAAGGUCCCAGGUUCCAAUCCCAGGCAUCUCUAGAUAGUUCUAGGAAUGUCCCCUUUCUGAACCCUGUAUAACUGCCUGUCAGUGCAGGCAAUGCUGAGGUAGAUAGAUGAAUGAUCUGAUUCAGUAGAAUACAUCUUCCAGUGUUCCUAUGAUCCCAUGAGGUGAGUGCAUUCACAGUAUUCAGAGACUCCACAAUAGGGAUGGGCAAAUAGGUCAGUUUCUGUUUCUCAUUUUCCAGCCUUAAAUUUGCCUCCCCACACUUCCACAUCUGUUUGUGAAUUUUUAAAAACUAGUUCUCAUAAAUAAAGUAUCAUCUUAUUGUGAAUUUCUCCUAAUAUCCUUUUUUUGGGGGGUAUGCAAUAUUGCCUAAUACAGUGGUACCUCGGGUUACAUACGCUUCAGGUUACAUACGCUUCAGGUUACAGACUCCGCUAACCCAGAAAUAUUACCUCAGGUUAAGAACUUUGCUUCAGGAUGAGAACAGAAAUCGUGCUCCGGCGGCGCGACAGCAGCAGGAGGCCCCAUUAGCUAAAGUGGUGCUUCAGGUUGAGAACAGUUUCAGGUUAAGAACGGACCUCCAGAAUGAAUUAAGUAACCCGAGGUACCACUGUAUCCAGAGUUAGAUCCUGCAUUUAAAUUAACAAAUAGAAGUGGUAAUAGGCAGAGGCAGAGGCAUAAGUACUGAUUUAAGGCUUUCUUGCCAAGGGAUAUUGUUUAAUCUUGGACCUUGGUAGGUAUCCUUUUAGAAAUGAGGCACUGGUUGUUGUUUUUUGGAACGUGGAAUUGUCUUAGUUAUUGGCGUGCAUUUAUUUUCACUUAGGAAGGCAUGCCAUGAGUUGCUAUACUAGAAAAGCGAAAUCUGAAGUAACCUCAAUUGUUCUGGGACAACAACAACAAGAAAAGAUUGCGCCACAAAUUAAAUAAUAAAAAAGUUAAUGUUUUAAACAGAAAAUCUCAUUAAAAAUAAACAAAUUAUUGCUGG